This 724-nucleotide ribosomal RNA is filed under the name uncultured Staphylococcus sp. RNAcentral describes it as "bacterial SSU rRNA". It matches the Rfam family "Bacterial small subunit ribosomal RNA", at positions 52 to 758 of the family's 1533-position model. The record is from RNAcentral. Lineage: Bacteria; Bacillati; Bacillota; Bacilli; Caryophanales; Staphylococcaceae.
UACAUGCAAGUCGAGCGAACAGACGAGGAGCUUACUCCUCUGACGUUAGCGGCGGACGGGUGAGUAACACGUGGGUAACCUACCUAUAAGACUGGGAUAACUCCGGGAAACCGGGGCUAAUACCGGAUAACACAUGAAACCGCAUGGUUUCAUGAUGAAAGACGGUUUUGCUGUCACUUAUAGAUGGACCCGCGGCGUAUUAGCUAGUUGGUAAGGUAACGGCUUACCAAGGCAACGAUACGUAGCCGACCUGAGAGGGUGAUCGGCCACACUGGAACUGAGACACGGUCCAGACUCCUACGGGAGGCAGCAGUAGGGAAUCUUCCGCAAUGGGCGAAAGCCUGACGGAGCAACGCCGCGUGAGUGAUGAAGGUCUUCGGAUCGUAAAACUCUGUUAUUAGGGAAGAACAAGGAUGUAAGUAACUGUGCAUCCCUUGACGGUACCUAAUCAGAAAGCCACGGCUAACUACGUGCCAGCAGCCGCGGUAAUACGUAGGUGGCAAGCGUUAUCCGGAAUUAUUGGGCGUAAAGCGCGCGUAGGCGGUUUUUUAAGUCUGAUGUGAAAGCCCACGGCUCAACCGUGGAGGGUCAUUGGAAACUGGAAAACUUGAGUGCAGAAGAGGAAAGUGGAAUUCCAUGUGUAGCGGUGAAAUGCGCAGAGAUAUGGAGGAACACCAGUGGCGAAGGCGACUUUCUGGUCUGCAACUGACGCUGAUGUGCGAAA